AACGAACGCUGGCGGCAGGCCUAACACAUGCAAGUCGAGCGGGGGAGCAAUCCCUAGCGGCGGACGGGUUAGUAACGCGUGGGAACAUACCCUUUGGUACGGAAUAGCCUCGGGAAACUGAGAGUAAUACCGUAUGUGCCCUUCGGGGGAAAGAUUUAUCGCCAAAGGAUUGGCCCGCGUUGGAUUAGGUAGUUGGUGGGGUAAUGGCCUACCAAGCCUACGAUCCAUAGCUGGUUUGAGAGGAUGAUCAGCAACACUGGGACUGAGACACGGCCCAGACUCCUACGGGAGGCAGCAGUGGGGAAUCUUAGACAAUGGGCGAAAGCCUGACGCAGCGACGCCGCGUGGGUGAUGAAGGCCUUCGGUCGGUAAAGACCUCGUCGCAGGGGAAGGAAUAAAGACAUACGGUAUAAUAACGCCGGU
This 423-nucleotide ribosomal RNA is filed under the name uncultured bacterium. Its description in RNAcentral is "bacterial SSU rRNA". It matches the Rfam family "Bacterial small subunit ribosomal RNA", at positions 29 to 476 of the family's 1533-position model. The record is from RNAcentral.